RNAcentral lists this long non-coding RNA (2004 nucleotides) under Carassius auratus (goldfish). RNAcentral's name for it is "lncRNA (ENSCARG00000055741.1)". Lineage: Eukaryota; Metazoa; Chordata; Actinopteri; Cypriniformes; Cyprinidae. The record is from RNAcentral.
AGGGAAUCCAAAGUGCACCCACACCAGACCUGUUGGUUAUUUUAGGAUCUUAUAUUUCUGGUCUGUUAAAUGCAUUAGACAUUUUGCAACGAGCCUUCAGCGCAUGCUGAGUGAGCGAGCGCCUUAGGGGCCGUUCACAUAUCGCUCCUAAAAGCGCGUGGAAAACGCUAAGCACGUCUUUCUCCUCCUUUCCAAAGCGCUCGGGCAGAAGCGCUCAUGAGGCGUCUGUCUUUGCUAAGCAACAAUGACGUGCUCUCUCCAUGAGACGCGGAAAUUUCAGCGAAUGAUAAAUGGAUUUGCAAGCUCUAAAAAUCGCUUGCAGUAGCUCUGCUACUAAAUUUAUUUCAAAAUUGCAAUCCAUAUACAACUGUGAACAGCUGUUUCUUCAUCUUGGCUGAGUUUUCAACGUUGUUACGGGAAAGGAUGAAGCUGAUUGGUUAGUUCUUGUCACAUGACCCGCGGUGCGCUUGCAGCAUUCUGAAAAGUUGAGAUGUUUUUACAUUUUGCUGUAUCUAAAACGUACCGAACCGAACCGAACCGUGACAUCAGUGUAUCGUAUCGAACCGAACCGUGAAUUUUGUGAACCGUUACACCCCUAAUAUAUAUAUAUAUAACAAGAAAAACAGAUUCGUAACUGACCUUGUUUAUAUUCUUUCUUCAGUUGACUACUCUCCAGCUCCAGUUUCUUCUGACUCAAAGAGAUCUCUCUCUGCUGUGAUGGUGGUCUGCUGCAGUAUGAUGAAGACCAGCAGAAGAACACAAAUGAGCGCCAGACUCACUGUGAUCAACACCAAACAUCUACUUCCUCCUGACCAAAACACACAAAUAUUAAUGAAUACCCAUCAUAUUACUAGACAUUAAUAAUCAGUCUUUAUCUUUAAAUAAUGUUGUAGAGUUUUUAUUAUCUUUUAUAAGACAAACAUUGCUAUACAGCAGGGCUUGGCAACCUAAAGCAAUCGUGGAAAUGAGUUAACUUCUCAUAGUCACACAGCCUGUUAGGAGCUAUAAAUACUAUUAAAGUGUGAGAAUUAACUUGCUAUGGGCUAUGGGCGUUGGCACAGUGGUUAACCAGAAAAAAAAAAAAAAUGUCACAUCAUGCCGAAAUGGUUGUCGAUCCCUGAUAUAUACAGUAACAAUGUUGAUUCAAGGUAAAAGAUCCAAAUAAGAACAUUAUUAGACAAAUUAGCAAGAAAAUAAUUAUAUUUUAAUAUAUUUAAAAUAAAUGCGGGAACGUUGACCACAAAUCCAGUCUUAAGUUUCAAUUUUAAUUUUACAAUAUUUGUCUGAGAUACAACUAUUUGAAAAUCUGGAAUCUGAGGGAGCCAAAAAAUCGAUAUACUGAGAAAAUCACCUAUAAAGUUGUCCAAAUGAAGUUCUUAGCAAUGCAUAUUACUAAUCAAAAACGUUUUUAUAUAUUUACAGUAGGAAAUUUUUACAAAAUAUCUUCAUGGAACAUGAUGUUUACCUAAUAUCCUAAAGAUUUUUUGGCAUACAUUUUUUUUUUUUUUUUGACCAAAACAAUGUUGUUGUUUUUUUGGCUAUUGCUAAAAAUAUACCCCAGAGACUUAAGACUGGUUUUGUGGUCCAGGGUCACAUGUUUUUCAUAGAAUAAAUACUUAAAGUUGUAUUUGUUGUAGUUGUACUGCCUUUAACUGUCAUUUUGCAUUAUUGACACACUGUUUUCCAAAAGAAUGUUGUUCAGUUGCUUUGACACAAUGUAUUUUGUUUAAAAUGCUAUAUAAAUAAAGGUGACUUGACUUGACUAUUUAACCAUUAACUUCCACAUCAUCGACACUAUUAAUAACACCAUUUGUGCUUUAAAGUAAUUUAUUUUCUUACUGUGUUUUAGAUCCUUUCCUUCAUCCUGGCUGUGACUCUGAGGUUUAGUUGUUUUCUGAACAUCUCUGUGUUUAACAUUUUCAUAAAUUCCCUCUGAUUCCAUUAUUCACUGAUGAUAGUUCUUCUUUAUAGAUAAGCUGUUCUUAAGAACAAUGACUAGUUCUA